CCUACGGGCGGCAGCAGUGAGGAAUAUUGGUCAAUGGUCGGGAGACUGAACCAGCCAAGCCGCGUGAGGGAUGAAGGUACAGAGUAUCGUAAACCUCUUUUGUCAGGGAACAAAGGCGGGGACGUGUCCCCGGAUGAGUGUACCUGAAGAAAAAGCAUCGGCUAACUCCGUGCCAGCAGCCGCGGUAAUACGGAGGAUGCGAGCGUUAUCCGGAUUUAUUGGGUUUAAAGGGUGCGCAGGCGGUCUGUUAAGUCAGCGGGCAAAGCCCGGGGCUCAACCCCGGCCCGCCGUUGAAACUGGCAGUCUCGAGUUGGAGAGAAGUAUGCGGAAUGCGCGGUGUAGCGGUGAAAUGCAUAGAUAUCGCGCAGAACUCCGAUUGCGAAGGCAGCAUGCCGGCUCCACACUGACGCUGAGGUACGAAAGCGUGGGUAUCGAACAGGAUUAGAUACCCUUGUAGUC
Molecule: ribosomal RNA, 459 nt
Filed under: uncultured bacterium
Lineage: Bacteria
Description: partial 16S ribosomal RNA
Rfam family: Bacterial small subunit ribosomal RNA
Source: RNAcentral